RNAcentral lists this long non-coding RNA (712 nucleotides) under Junco hyemalis (dark-eyed junco). RNAcentral describes it as "lncRNA (ENSJHYG00000009493.1)". Lineage: Eukaryota; Metazoa; Chordata; Aves; Passeriformes; Passerellidae. The record is from RNAcentral.
GUCUCUACAAUCUCUUUUUCUGGCUAGACAGGAGGGCACAGGAUGAGCUUUCCCUUUCUUAUUGCUACAACCCUGCUCUGUACCUCUCUCCUGUUAAAGUGCCACAGGUGUUGGGAUCUCUUAGGAGCCAUCUCAUAGAACAUGGGGAUGAGGCAAGAGGACAAGAUCAGCUCAGAUCUGCUUGGCUCUGACACCCUGGCUGAGGCUGGUGUGCAGUGACCUGGAAGGGUGCCAGAACAAAUCCUCUAGCAGCUCUUGAGUCAUGUGGUCACACCGCAGAAAAAUAAAAAAAAUGAGUUGAACAAAUGGAUGAGUUUUCUUCAUUGUGAAAGAACCUCUAAGCAGGAGUUUCUGAGAGGUGUGUUGAGGGCCCCAGGGAAAUGCUCAUCUGUUUCAGUGUGGGACAGACCACCUGCCACUCAGGAUUCAGUUUCUCAGGUGAUGAUGGAGAGCAGAUCCUUGGAGUACUCCACUGAAGGGGGGAAAAAAAUCAACAACAAAAAAACAAGAGAAAGGAAUAACCAGUAGCAACUGGGCACCAAGAAAAGGAACAGGCUGAUUGAUGGUACAAAGGAGUAUUCUUUGGAGGAGUCACUUGGAGGUUUUUCUCACAAACAAUGAAAAGCUCGGUGUAAAGUACAACAAAAGGACAGCAAGUAAGUAAAAGAUCUGUUUGUACUCUUUGUAUUAUUAGAGCAGUCAAAAGCUGGAG